GGGGGGGGGGGGGGGGGGGGGGGGGGGGGGGGGGGCGGGGGGGGGGGCGGGGGGCGGCGUGGCGGCGGGGGGGGGGCGGGGGAGGGAGGCAGCGGAACGUGCCCAGGAGGGGGGGAUAGCCCGGCGAAAGCCGGAGUAAUACCGCAUACGACCUGAGGGUGAAAGCGGGGGACCGAAAGGCCUCGCGCUAUUGGAGCGGCCGAUGUCGGAUUAGCUAGUUGGUGGGGUAAAGGCUUACCAAGGCGACGAUCCGUAGCUGGUCUGAGAGGACGACCAGCCACACUGGGACUGAGACACGGCCCAGACUCCUACGGGAGGCAGCAGUGGGGAAUUUUGGACAAUGGGGGCAACCCUGAUCCAGCCAUGCCGCGUGCGGGAAGAAGGCCUUCGGGUUGUAAACCGCUUUUGUUCGGGAAGAAAUCCUCUGGGCUAAUACCCCGGGGGGAUGACGGUACCGGAAGAAUAAGCACCGGCUAACUACGUG
This 484-nucleotide ribosomal RNA is filed under the name uncultured bacterium. RNAcentral's name for it is "partial 16S ribosomal RNA". It matches the Rfam family "Bacterial small subunit ribosomal RNA", at positions 38 to 507 of the family's 1533-position model. The record is from RNAcentral.